CAAUAGCGUAUAUUAAAGUUGUUGCGGUUAAAAAGCUCGUAGUUGGAUUUCUGCCGAGGACGACCGGUCCGCCCUCUGGGUGAGUAUCUGGUUCGGCCUGGGCAUCUUCUUGGAGAACGUAUCUGCACUUGACUGUGUGGUGCGGUAUCCAGGACUUUUACUUUUGAAGGAAAUUAGAGUGUUUACAAGCAGGCAUACGCCUUGAAUACAUUAGCAUGGAAUAAUAAGAUAGGACCUCGGUUCUAUUUUGUUGGUUUCUAGAUCUGAGGUAAUGAUUAAUAGGGAGUAGUUGGGGGUCAUUUCGUAUUUAACUGUCAGAGGUGAAAUUCUUGGUAUUUGUUAAAGACGGACUACUGCGAAAGCAUUUGCCAAGGAUGUUUUCAUUGAUCAAGAACG
This 396-nucleotide ribosomal RNA is filed under the name uncultured eukaryote. Its description in RNAcentral is "SSU rRNA". It matches the Rfam family "Eukaryotic small subunit ribosomal RNA", at positions 592 to 985 of the family's 1831-position model. The record is from RNAcentral.